GCAGCAUAAAUACAAUUUGCGCUCCCUUUAACGGCCCUUUACACUGCUGGAGAGGUGCAUAGUGUAAAGGCGCAGGAGUCUUCUAAUAUUUAUCCUUCGCAACGGAAAAUUGCCUUUGCCCUCCUGUGUUUUACAACGGCCCUUCUCUUGUACGUGCAUUACAGAAAACGUGUCAACACCUUGCGGCUGGUUUGCUAAAUACUUUAGAUUGAUAGGAAAGAGUCACGAUUGUUUUUUUUUUAAAUCUAACUCCCUCACCCACCCCUCCAAAAAAAAAUACAUCCAGUUGUUUUAAAAGCGGUUCCCUCUUCAGUUUUCCAGUUAAGCCAUGUCGUCGCUAGGGAAAAGUGAAGACAAGGCCAUAGAGACUCAAUGAUCUGGAUAAGCACAAAUAAGCUGCCCACAGCGCUGCACAAAGACGGCCUUUUUGGAAGAGGAAGACAAAGCGCAACCUUUUUCUGGAAUUCGAGGAUAAAGACGUCUCUUUCUGGGAAUUGUUUACACCUGGACACCAGGGAGCAGACUGAACAGCCAAAAAAGACUGAGAUGACCUUCUGAUGGCCCAUGUGUUGGCAAGGACCCUCACGCUGCAAGUAUCUGAUGUUUCAAAUAAUUUACUAUUCUGCGAAGGUCUUUUCUGCUAAUGCAGCUCCCACUUCCCAGAGCAGCCCUGCUGGUUCUCUCCCCCUGGUUUCUUUCCCAUGGGACGCAUGGGAUUUGAAAAUAAAUACACGGCGUUAUCUGCAAAGCGCGUUCGCCUGGCUCUUCAAAUGCAUAAUUCCUCUUCUUAAUGGGAAACGUCGCUCUGCCCAAAUAGGAGACCUGGCAUAGGACACAAAUCUCUCUCCAGAGGAGACCUGCUGAUUUCAAGGAGCGAGGAUCUUCUCUGAUAAGCACCAGCCAGCUUCCCUCCCUGUCACAGCUCAUGCAGCCUCGGGCUGCCCUCUGUUGGCAUUUUACAAGGUUGACAUUUGCUUAAUAAAGACUCUUGGCCUCUUU
Molecule: long non-coding RNA, 999 nt
Organism: Mauremys reevesii (Reeves's turtle)
Lineage: Eukaryota; Metazoa; Chordata; Testudines; Geoemydidae
Exons: 5
Source: RefSeq, a predicted model, not a curated record